RNAcentral lists this ribosomal RNA (1554 nucleotides) under Staphylococcus aureus. Its description in RNAcentral is "16S ribosomal RNA". It matches the Rfam family "Bacterial small subunit ribosomal RNA". The record is from RNAcentral. Lineage: Bacteria; Bacillati; Bacillota; Bacilli; Caryophanales; Staphylococcaceae.
UUUAUGGAGAGUUUGAUCCUGGCUCAGGAUGAACGCUGGCGGCGUGCCUAAUACAUGCAAGUCGAGCGAACGGACGAGAAGCUUGCUUCUCUGAUGUUAGCGGCGGACGGGUGAGUAACACGUGGAUAACCUACCUAUAAGACUGGGAUAACUUCGGGAAACCGGAGCUAAUACCGGAUAAUAUUUUGAACCGCAUGGUUCAAAAGUGAAAGACGGUCUUGCUGUCACUUAUAGAUGGAUCCGCGCUGCAUUAGCUAGUUGGUAAGGUAACGGCUUACCAAGGCAACGAUGCAUAGCCGACCUGAGAGGGUGAUCGGCCACACUGGAACUGAGACACGGUCCAGACUCCUACGGGAGGCAGCAGUAGGGAAUCUUCCGCAAUGGGCGAAAGCCUGACGGAGCAACGCCGCGUGAGUGAUGAAGGUCUUCGGAUCGUAAAACUCUGUUAUUAGGGAAGAACAUAUGUGUAAGUAACUGUGCACAUCUUGACGGUACCUAAUCAGAAAGCCACGGCUAACUACGUGCCAGCAGCCGCGGUAAUACGUAGGUGGCAAGCGUUAUCCGGAAUUAUUGGGCGUAAAGCGCACGUAGGCGGUUUUUUAAGUCUGAUGUGAAAGCCCACGGCUCAACCGUGGAGGGUCAUUGGAAACUGGAAAACUUGAGUGCAGAAGAGGAAAGUGGAAUUCCAUGUGUAGCGGUGAAAUGCGCAGAGAUAUGGAGGAACACCGGUGGCGAAGGCGACUUUCUGGUCUGUAACUGACGCUGAUGUGCGAAAGCGUGGGGAUCAAACAGGAUUAGAUACCCUGGUAGUCCACGCCGUAAACGAUGAGUGCUAAGUGUUAGGGGGUUUCCGCCCCUUAGUGCUGCAGCUAACGCAUUAAGCACUCCGCCUGGGGAGUACGACCGCAAGGUUGAAACUCAAAGGAAUUGACGGGGACCCGCACAAGCGGUGGAGCAUGUGGUUUAAUUCGAAGCAACGCGAAGAACCUUACCAAAUCUUGACAUCCUUUGACAACUCUAGAGAUAGAGCCUUCCCCUUCGGGGGACAAAGUGACAGGUGGUGCAUGGUUGUCGUCAGCUCGUGUCGUGAGAUGUUGGGUUAAGUCCCGCAACGAGCGCAACCCUUAAGCUUAGUUGCCAUCAUUAAGUUGGGCACUCUAAGUUGACUGCCGGUGACAAACCGGAGGAAGGUGGGGAUGACGUCAAAUCAUCAUGCCCCUUAUGAUUUGGGCUACACACGUGCUACAAUGGACAAUACAAAGGGCAGCGAAACCGCGAGGUCAAGCAAAUCCCAUAAAGUUGUUCUCAGUUCGGAUUGUAGUCUGCAACUCGACUACAUGAAGCUGGAAUCGCUAGUAAUCGUAGAUCAGCAUGCUACGGUGAAUACGUUCCCGGGUCUUGUACACACCGCCCGUCACACCACGAGAGUUUGUAACACCCGAAGCCGGUGGAGUAACCUUUUAGGAGCUAGCCGUCGAAGGUGGGACAAAUGAUUGGGGUGAAGUCGUAACAAGGUAGCCGUAUCGGAAGGUGCGGCUGGAUCACCUCCUUUCU